UACGUAGGGGGCAAGCGUUGUCCGGAUUCAUUGGGCGUAAAGAGCGUGUAGGCGGCCAGGUAGGUCGGUUGUGAAAACUGGAGGCUCAACCUUCAGAGGUCGACCGAAACCAUCUGGCUAGAGUCCGGAAGAGGCGGGUGGAAUUCCUGGUGUAGCGGUGGAAUGCGCAGAUAUCAGGAGGAACACCAACGGCGAAGGCAGCCCGCUGGGACGGUACUGACGCUAAGGCGCGAAAGCGUGGGGAGCGAACAGG
Molecule: ribosomal RNA, 253 nt
Filed under: uncultured bacterium
Lineage: Bacteria
Description: partial 16S ribosomal RNA
Rfam family: Bacterial small subunit ribosomal RNA
Source: RNAcentral